Long non-coding RNA from Taeniopygia guttata (zebra finch), 885 nucleotides. RefSeq lists it as uncharacterized. NCBI's taxonomy places the organism in Eukaryota, Metazoa, Chordata, Aves, Passeriformes, Estrildidae. The record is from RefSeq and is a predicted model, not a curated record.
UGGGACCUGCGGAAACACGGGGUAACAGGAUAAAUACUCCGGGUUUGGAUUGGGGGCAGCACUCUGCCCUAAGCCUGGGACAGGCAGGGACGCAGUGCCAGCCCCUUGCUGUGCUCUGGCCAUGCCACUGCCACUGCUGACAUCUGCAGCAAUGCUCCCACCUUGCUCACUGCCCAACCUUGGACCCACAGUAAUCCCUUCUCGUUUUUUGGUUGCCCUCGGGCACUAAAGGCGAAAAAAAAGGCCUCAAAACUUUCCUCCCCGUUUCUGCACCCAGCCCCUAGAACAAAUGGCAUUGGCAGUCAGCUUUUUGCACUUGGCUGGCCACUAAUUUAGUACCUCUUUUGCCUUAAAUUUUAGCUGCAGGAUAGACAAGACCAUGAGGACAAGCAUGAAGACACAGCCCAGCCUUCACUGCUCCAGACUGGUAAACCUGCAGGGAGCUGCAGGGACCAGAGCCAAUCCAUCUCCUAAGGCCAUUGGCAACCAUGCUCCAACACCAGGCAGGAGGUUAGAGCAGCAUCACCUGUUCCGGUCACGAGCUGAAGAUUUCCCAAAUGGACAUCUGUCUGGAAGACACCAUGCUGGUUGGAAAGGCUGUGAUUCCAAUGGUGUUAUGUCUCUGGCAACCCACUGAAGUUGCCACACUUUCUCAGAGCCUUUGAGUCCCUAUGCUGGCUGUGCCACUGCCUGUGUUCUUCACCUCUGGUUUAAUUCCCUGGUUCCUGGAGCCCAGUGGGUGGGGGUGUGUCAUGACCCAGCGAGGAUGUCGCUGUCAGGUGAUUUGCUGCUGUGAAAUGUCCAGGGUUCAAAUGCCAUGGAAAUUCCAAUAACUGCAGGUAGCUGUAUCUGAAGUUGAAAUAAAUGCCUGGGAUGGCACGUUAG